UCUGCCAGAUCCUGAACAGCUGUCUUAAAGUUAUUGAGAAGAGAGUAGAUGGCGUGUUUGCUGCCAACAGCCAUGUUAUAGCUGCCUGGUUUCCACCAUCUUCGCUGAAUCCGAUGCAACACCUGCCGGAAAAUGCAGCAAAUCUCCAACGGCUUCUCCUUCCAGUGUGGGAACCUGGACACUGGACACUCU
Long non-coding RNA from Gymnodraco acuticeps, 192 nucleotides. RefSeq lists it as uncharacterized. Lineage: Eukaryota; Metazoa; Chordata; Actinopteri; Perciformes; Bathydraconidae. The transcript is spliced from 3 exons. The record is from RefSeq and is a predicted model, not a curated record.